AAUGUCCCACCAAGAGUGAAGAGCUGCCUGUUUGCUUCAUAUUCCCAGUCCUCCUCGCUGAUGAUUUCUGAAGUCCUUACGCAGUCACCCCAGUCUUCAACCUCGGUUUGUUCAGAUGUGAUGCCAUACACAGGGGUUCCGACAGAAGACAGCAGACAGAAUUCGUCGAUGUAUUUGAAAUGUCAUUGUUUAUUUGAAAAAAGUUACCUAUCCA
Long non-coding RNA from Mya arenaria, 214 nucleotides. RefSeq lists it as uncharacterized. The record is from RefSeq and is a predicted model, not a curated record. Lineage: Eukaryota; Metazoa; Mollusca; Bivalvia; Myida; Myidae. The transcript is spliced from 2 exons.